Molecule: non-coding RNA, 73 nt
Organism: Pangasianodon gigas (Mekong giant catfish)
Lineage: Eukaryota; Metazoa; Chordata; Actinopteri; Siluriformes; Pangasiidae
Source: the annotation of a GenBank genome assembly
GGCAUGGUGGCAUAGUGGUUAGCACUGGUGAAUUGCACUUCCAGGGUUGGGGGUUCAAAUCCCGCCUCUACCC